AACUUUUAUUGAUAUAUAAUUGGAAUUCUUCUGUGUUAUCAAUCACGGUUUUACAAUAAUUUCACGGUCUAUUAUUAUAAUUUAAUUGUUUCAUCUUUAGUGAACACUCUUACUUUUGAAACCGUUUACUUUGAAAGUUUCACUUCCGUUUCCGUUUUUAUGCGCGUUGCUGUUAACUUCCCUGCCACUUUAAAACUAUUUGAGGCAAUAUUGGCUUCUACAUUUCUGUCUUUUUAAAAGAAGUGAACUGAAGUAAUGCUGUAAAUAAACUGUAGAUAAUAACACCGAUCAAUGUGGAUGUGAAAUGAACACAAGAUGUAAAUAUGAGUGACUGAACCAUAUUCAGUGAUUCAUGAGGAUAAUUGGGACAAUGUUUGAGGACGUUAGCGGUUUUGGAGCCUGGCACAGAAGAUGGUGCGUCCUGCCAGGGUACUGCAUCUCCUACUGGACCUACCCCGAUGACGAAAGGCGCAAGGUGGAGAUGUGUGGAAUCUGGGCGGUGUUUGGCAGCGAGAGCUGCAUGUCUCUGCACUGCAGCAACGCCAUGAAGAUCGCUCACCGAGGACCUGACGGCUUCCGCUUCGAGAGCGUGGAGGGGAUGACCAACUGCUGCUUCGGCUUCCACCGCCUGGUCAUCCAGGAGAAGCUGCACGGCAUGCAGCCUCUACGCGGCAUGCAGCCUCUACGGGUCCACAACUUCCCCUCCCUGUGGCUCUGCUACAACGGAGAGAUUUACAACCAUCGCUUGCUGAGCAAACAUUUUGACUUUGAGUGCCAGACUGAAAUAGACGGAGAGAUCCUGCUUCAUCUUUACGAUCGCUUCGGCAUCGAGAAGGCGGCGACUCUUUUGGACGGAACCUUCGCCUUCGUGCUCCUGGACACGGCCAACAUGAAGGUGUUCCUGGGCAGGGACACUUAUGGAGUGCGGCCCCUCUUCCGACUGCUCAGCCAUCAUGGAAUGCUGGCCGUCAGCUCCGAGGCUAAAGGUCUGGCAGACAUGACUCCGGCUGCUAAGAUCAUUCCUUUCCUGCCGGGACACGUGGAGGUGUUUGACUUGAAGGCCAGCGGAAAAGUGGAGUCUCUUCAGAUGAAAGCAUUUCACGAGUGCACCCAGGAGCCCUAUCAUGUCCUCUGUGACGCCGUGGGUCGUCUGCCAACAAGUCUGGAUGAAGAAAGUGUCAAGGGCAACAUCAGAAUCUUGUUUGAAAAUGCGGUGAGGAAACGUCUGAUGGCCCAAAGGAGGAUCGGCUGUCUUCUCUCAGGGGGUCUGGAUUCCAGUCUGGUGGCCGCCACGCUGGUGAAGCUGGCCAAAGAAGAAGGUCUGCAAUAUCCCGUCCAAACAUUUGCCAUCGGAUCAGAAGACAGCCCGGACAUCUUAGCUGCCCGGAAGGUCGCCGCUCACAUCGGCAGUGAGCACCACGAAGUCAACUUCAGUGUCGAAGAAGGCAUCAGAGCAGUGGAGGAGGUCAUCGUCAGCCUGGAGACCUACGACAUCACCACCAUACGCGCCUCCGUCGGCAUGUAUUUGGUCAGCAAGUACAUCAGAGAGCAGACGGACAGUGUUGUCAUCUUCUCAGGAGAAGGUUCCGAUGAACUCACUCAAGGUUACAUAUACUUUCACAAGGCUCCGAGUGCGGAGGCAGGAUCAGAAGAAAGUGUUCGACUGCUGAAAAACCUUUACCUGUUUGAUAACCUGAGGGCUGAUCGCACCACUGCUGCACACGGGUUGGAGCUGAGAGUGCCUUUCCUGGACCACAGACUGAGCGCCUACUACCUGUCCCUGCCACCUGAGAUGAGGACUCCCAGGCACGGCGUGGAGAAGUUCCUUCUGAGGGACGCCUUCAAAGGUCAAAAUCUGAUCCCUGAUGAGAUUCUGUGGCGACGUAAAGAGGCCUUCAGUGAUGGACUCAUGUCUGAGAAGAAGUCCUGGUACAUGUUCCUGGAAGACCACCUCGACUCUGUGGUGAGCGAGGAGCAGCUGGCCAAGGCAGAGGAGAAUUGCACCCACAACCGUCCUCACACCAAAGAAGCGUGCUUCUACCGGCAGGUGUUUGACACACACUUUCCUGGUCGUGCUGACUUGCUUCCUCACUUCUGGAUGCCUCGCUGGAUUCCUGCCAACGACCCCUCAGAUCGCACGCACGCCGUCUACAAGCUCAACUCCAACCACUGAGCAACUCCCUGCCACCAUCAUAUGGGUCACAUGGAUCAUCAACAAACGACAUCACAGUUUGUCUCGACAUGGGAAGGAAAAGAUUCUUACCUGCAUGCUGCCUCCUGCUGCUUCCUGGGAACCCCACCACCGCUGAAAUGCAAACAGAUUAUUAUCACUUUGCUUCAAAAUAAAUAGUUGUACUACA
This is an RNA transcript of Nerophis ophidion (straightnose pipefish), 2360 nucleotides long. It is a transcript of the gene named asparagine synthetase [glutamine-hydrolyzing]-like, with no coding region annotated. The record is from RefSeq and is a predicted model, not a curated record. The transcript has 15 exons. NCBI's taxonomy places the organism in Eukaryota, Metazoa, Chordata, Actinopteri, Syngnathiformes, Syngnathidae.